GUGUCAGCAGCCGCGGUAAUACAGAGGUGGCAAGCGUUGUUCGGAAUUACUGGGCGUAAAGGGCGCGUAGGCGGCUCGACAAGUCCCGCGUGAAAUCCCCCGGCUCAACUGGGGAAUUGCGCGGGAAACUGUCGGACUUGAGUUCGGGAGAGGGAAGCGGAAUUCCGGGUGUAGCGGUGAAAUGCGUAGAUAUCCGGAGGAACACCGGUGGCGAAGGCGGCUUCCUGGACCGACACUGACGCUGAGGCGCGAAAGCUAGGGGAGCAAACGGGAUUAGAAACCCGCGUAGUCC
Molecule: ribosomal RNA, 292 nt
Filed under: uncultured bacterium
Lineage: Bacteria
Description: partial 16S ribosomal RNA
Rfam family: Bacterial small subunit ribosomal RNA
Source: RNAcentral